This 253-nucleotide ribosomal RNA is filed under the name uncultured bacterium. RNAcentral's name for it is "partial 16S ribosomal RNA". It matches the Rfam family "Bacterial small subunit ribosomal RNA", at positions 524 to 776 of the family's 1533-position model. The record is from RNAcentral.
UACAGAGGUUCCAAGCGUUGUUCGGAUUUAUUGGGCGUAAAGGGUGCGUAGGCGGCGGAGUAAGUUGGGUGUGAAAUCCCGGGGCUCAACCUCGGAAUUGCAUUCAAUACUGCUUCGCUUGAGUACUGGAGAGGAGGCUGGAAUUUACGGUGUAGCAGUGAAAUGCGUAGAUAUCGUAAGGAAGGCCGGUGGCGAAAGCGAGCCUCUGGACAGUUACUGACGCUGAUGCACGAAGGCCAGGGGAGCAAACGGG